AGAGUGAACGCUGGCGGCGUGCUUAACACAUGCAAGUCGAACGAGAACGGAUUUAAGCUUGCUUAAAUUGUCAGCUAAGUGGCGCACGGGUGAGUAAUAUAUAGUUAACCUGCCCUAGAGAGGGGGAUAACGUUUGGAAACGAACGCUAAUACCCUAUAUGCCUUUAAUACAUAAGUAUGCAAGGGAAAUAUUUAUAGCUCUAGGAUGGGACUGUACGGUAUCAGUUAGUUGGUGAGGUAAUGGCUCACCAAGACUAUGACACCUAACUGGUUUGAGAGGAUGAUCAGUCACACUGGAACUGAGACACGGUCCAGACUCCUACGGGAGGCAGCAGUGGGGAAUAUUGCACAAUGGACGAAAGUCUGAUGCAGCAACGCCGCGUGGAGGAUGACACAUUUCGGUGCGUAAACUCCUUUUAUAUAGGAAGAUAAUGACGGUACUAUAUGAAUAAGCACCGGCUAACUCCGUGCCAGCAGCCGCGGUAAUACGGAGGGUGCAAGCGUUACUCGGAAUCACUGGGCGUAAAGAGCGUGUAGGCGGGUUAAUAAGUUGGAAGUGAAAUCCUAUGGCUCAACCAUAGAACUGCUUUCAAAACUGUUAACCUAGAGUAUGGGAGAGGUAGAUGGAAUUUCUGGUGUAGGGGUAAAAUCCGUAGAGAUCAGAAGGAAUACCGAUUGCGAAGGCGAUCUACUGGAACAUAACUGACGCUGAGACGCGAAAGCGUGGGGAGCAAACAGGAUUAGAUACCCUGGUAGUCCACGCCCUAAACGAUGCACACUAGUUGUUGCUAUGCUAGACAUAGCAGUAAUGCAGUUAACACAUUAAGUGUGCCGCCUGGGGAGUACGGUCGCAAGAUUA
RNAcentral lists this ribosomal RNA (859 nucleotides) under uncultured bacterium. Its description in RNAcentral is "bacterial SSU rRNA". It matches the Rfam family "Bacterial small subunit ribosomal RNA", at positions 26 to 896 of the family's 1533-position model. The record is from RNAcentral.